Molecule: long non-coding RNA, 3296 nt
Filed under: Mus musculus (house mouse)
Lineage: Eukaryota; Metazoa; Chordata; Mammalia; Rodentia; Muridae
Description: long non-coding RNA chr10:85015041-85018337
Source: RNAcentral
UUUUUUUUUCUCUUUCUUUUAUCUCUUUUUCUAGAGAGGAGUUGCUUAAACCAAUGGGACUAAAACCUGACGGGACAAUAACGCCUUUGGAGGAAGCACUCAGCCAGUAUUCUGUCAUCGAAGAGACCAGCUCGGACACAGACUGAAAGCAUCAUCACCUGCUCCACUCUCAAUAUGGCUUUUAUCAGCAUCUUUUCUCUGUAGCUCCAGGGGAAUCUUUUUCUCUAAAACGUUUAUGCCCUCGCUUUGGCUAGAAACACAUUAACUGGUUUACUCAUUGGGAAUCCAGCAUAUUUAAGAGGUAAUCCUGUGUUUUCUGCAACAUUGAGGCAUUCAUACAGAGCUGCAGUUAGGCAGAGUUGCGGGGCUAGAAGCAGAAGCAGACAUCCCAUUGCACCAGGACAGAGUACGGGACUUCACUCGGCAAGCAGCCCUGGUCAGAUCUGGCAGUCUUGUUGCCGAAGAUUCUGCGUGUCCUUCCACCCACCCAUGUCAACUGCCCCUUCUGAGUCUCUCCAGCGACCUGGGGCCCCUGAGGGCCCGAGGAGCUGAUAAAUAAGGGCUGAGGCAAGUGACUCCUUAGAUCAGCACUGACUGAACGAAAGCCAGGCAGCUGUUCUGUAAGCCUAGCCCUACCCUUCAUUUCAGUUUUAUACAAAUGUGGAAACACACACACACGCACGCACACACACACAUGGCCCCAGACUUACAAACCUAUUACACUCUAAAAGUGUGUCAUUUAGCGAAAACUUGAGAUUACAUUUCUUCCUGGGAGGAGUUAGAAGUAAUGGUUUAGUUCAGGCAGCUACACGUGCCUAUUUAUCCCUCGUUCCUGAACACUACUAGUACCGUAGGGCUGGACCACCAUCUGUACCGUUGCGUCCACAGUGUGCAUUCUGAGGUAUCACUCAGGGUGCCAAGUACACACUCAUCCUCCAGGCAACAGAGAGGAUGGGGCUCCCCGAGUAGUGGGAGUUCUUUUGUGGCCUGUGCUGGGGGUAGGGAGCCAACAGCACCCGUUUGUACAUAAAGGUCAUUCGUAUGUCACAUGUUUUAAACUGGGGUCUCUGUGUGUAUUUGUGUGUGUGUUCUACCUUUCUACCAUAUGUCAUCAGUUUAAUGGUAACUUUAUUUAUUUAAAAACAAAGAAACACAAAUAGUUACUAUUAAACUGAUUAAGGCUGUUUAUUUUUACUCCUAGAAAUGGUCAUAUGAAGUAGAUGUGCAAUCAUGUAGACAGCAGGCCAAGGUGAUCAGUGGCUAAAGUUGAAAAGGGGUUGGUUUCUUUCAUAUAUGUAUGUGUGUGUACAUGCGCAUACAUAGAUAUAUGCACACAUAGAUUAUGUGCUUGACCACUGCCUUUUAAAACUUUAAAUUAAAUAAAACAUUGGGGAUGAUUCAAUUUAGCCAUCUGUGUGUGUGUUUCUUUAUGGAUACGUGGUCUAAGGAGACUAUUGCACAGCUUAUGUUUUAAAGUCUUUCUCCACCUGCUCCCUCACCUGUCAUUGUGCAGCCUCUUUCCAGGACAGAGUGUGCAUAGAUAGCAUUGGUGAGAAUUCGUUUAGCUUCAAUGGUCCCUGGCCUUUGAGCUACCAGACAGAUGCCAGGAAGUUCUUAAAAUUUACUCUGAAGGGAACCCUUAAAGAGUAGUCACCAUCACUAAGAUUUAUAUUCAUUUCAAACAUGUUUGGUCACUUGGACUUUGAGCCCUCACCCCACACAAAGGCAGAGAAGGUUAGUGUGUUUCAAGCAGGCACCCUAAAAACAGUAAAAGGCGUCAGCCGGGAGUGGGGAGCCUUCAGUGCCCAGAUUCCUCCUCCAGAUCCAAAUGGGGGCCAGUGUGCACAGCAAGGUGAGCAGGAAGAAACACCAUCCAAGGCUCAGCAGAUAGUGUGUGUGACAGGUGGCCAGAGACAGCUUUCCUAAUAGUGGCCCUGAGCGGCUCUAAAAGGAUCAACCAAAAGACUUGUAAGAGACUCGGGAAUGUCCGUACAUCAAGGACUCUCAUCCAUAACUAUUGUUUUAGCCAAUGGCACCACCCAAUAAGAUUUUCAUUUUAUUCUGCCGUUCAUAAUUUUAGUUAAGUAGAAAAAAAUUCAGAGGAGCAGGAACUUAGUUAUUUUGUUACUUCAUUCUACAAAUUCAUUUCAAAAGUAUUUUUAUAAUCUCUGGUCAGAUAGCUUUUCCAUGAGCAUCAGCCUACGAAAGCAUGCUGUGCCCGGUGAAACGCCACCUUGCCGCCUCUGCGCAAGUGCUUGCACAGUGCCGUAGCUGUGCUCCGACGCUUUCAACAAGUUCCUUUCACCAUGCAUCUCUUGCAUCUAGGCACUUAAUUUUUUUUUUUAAGGAGUAAUUCUUUAAAAGAUGGAGUAGCUUCACCAUGCACACAGAGAGCACUGAGCAGCGAGCUUCAUGUCUUCUUUGUAACCUCACCCCAUCUCCAAGCAGAGCCUUUCCAGAGAGCUGCUUAACUUCCUAGACCCUCAGCAAGCCAGGGUCCAGCUGUGGGCUUGACACCUGCACCUUCCCUGUUGCAUGUAGGACCACUAGCCAGAGGCUUUAAGACAGCAGACAGGCUGCGGAAGGUGGUCCUUCUCAGACCAUUUUAAGCAAUAACUAUUUGAGCAGCAGUCUCUGGUGUUCCCAUCAGGGAGGUACCUGCACGAGCGGGAGAAGCUUGGUCAGUUAGCAGAUUUUAGGUGAAGACCUGGACACCCUUAGGUCAGAGAGCAACAGUGUGGGUCGGUCCUCCAGUGAGAGGGGUCAGCCAGUGACCACGGCCGUUUACAUACACUGGACUUGGGAAUGCACGCCCUAAAACAAGGCAUUGGAACUCCUCAGAGGAACAGUUUCCAGAUGUCUGUGGCCCGUUUGCAUGUCCAGUGGUUUUUAGUGGCAGUCAGGGCAAAUGCUGUCCUUUCUCUAUAAAUGACAGGUUGAAUGAAGCUUUGCAAAUGGCUGGACAGCACCCUGGCACGUGAGUCUUGCUGCCCCCAGGACUAGGUAUCACUCUCCUUCAGCUUUCUUUGGCCCCACCUUGUCUAUCAGAGUCAUACAUGCUUCUUGUAGAAUGUUUAGAAAGUGCGGAAACAGUAAAACUAGCUAUUGACCCAGAGCCCUCCCACCCCCGAGAGCAUCACUGUUCAUGUUUGGUGUAUUCCUUUCCUAUAUUUUUUCUAUGCAUAUAUAAUUUAUUUUACUACAAGAUUGGGAUCAUGCUGUGUUUACAGAUUUGUACCCUGCUUUCCUUAACAUUGUGAGCAUUUUCCCAUACCAAUAAAUAGUCUUCAAAUGUU